This is a long non-coding RNA of Taeniopygia guttata (zebra finch), 467 nucleotides long. RefSeq lists it as uncharacterized. The record is from RefSeq and is a predicted model, not a curated record. NCBI's taxonomy places the organism in Eukaryota, Metazoa, Chordata, Aves, Passeriformes, Estrildidae.
UGGGGAUCUCCGGGCUCUGCAGGCUGCUGAAGCCAGAGCCGAGCCCGCCGGGCAGGAGGUUCCCGGGGCUGCCCAGAGCAGCUCAUCCUGCAUGUUUUGAUGAUGCGCAGCAGCGACCGCUGAGGAGGAACAGGGAGGGCAGCGGCGACCCGGCUGCCGGACGAACCGGCUACAGCGGGCGGCAAGGGGCAGAGGAAUGAGGCGAGGCGGCUGCGGCCGCUCCGGGCAGGGAAGGACCCGGCGGUGGGCAGGGGCUGAGGCGGCCGUCUGCGGGAGCUCCCCUGACAGCGGCUCGGCGCAGAGGUGAACCCCCACCUCAGCACACUAAAGAGACAAAGAUAAUUAAUAAUCUUUGUGGCGAAGUGUUGGGGGGCGGGGGGAGAGUUUAAACACCCGCCUAUCGCCAACCACUAUGCAAGUCCCAAAAUAGCUUGUUUAUAGAAUAAAGCUCUCUUCUUUCCCAUCAA